Molecule: long non-coding RNA, 1789 nt
Organism: Cyprinus carpio (common carp)
Lineage: Eukaryota; Metazoa; Chordata; Actinopteri; Cypriniformes; Cyprinidae
Source: RefSeq, a predicted model, not a curated record
UGGAGAGGGUGAGGCGCGAGUCAGUGGGGAGCGUUGUUCCUUUGGGGAAGUAGCGACUCUGAUUGACAGAUAAUUUGACCUUCGCUUGCAGGUGGUAGACAGCUGCACGCGGACUGAAUCAAUAAUUAACCGCGAGACCAGCCGCUCCCACCCCUGACAAAACCCAUUUCACAUCUCCACCGGUCUUUGUGCAGCUGUACUGGUACAAUAGAACAAAUCACAGGGCUGGAAUGGGCUAGGAAACGGCUGUGGUCUUAUCGUCUCCGCACCUGCACUUCUAAAAACCACGGCGGAGGUCCCUCAUGACAAUAAUGGCAGAACAGAUCAGCUCCUGGCAAAAGAAAUCCUCAUUAUUUGUGGGGAAAAUUAGAUGAAUGUGGCACUGGUGAAUCCUUGAGCAGAUAUCGAACCUAGUAGGAGGCUCUCCUCGUGGCCAAUUCCAAAUGAAGUGCAGUCACUGACGGUUGGCUGGAGGGGGACUGAGCAAUGGUGAAGAUCGCGUUUUUUGACGGUUGGCUGUAGGGUGGCCUUUGCUGUGUUUGAUCGCAGUUGGAGCUCUCGAGCACGAUGAGGAAGACCGCUGUGGUCCAUCUGGCCUGGUCUUUAAUCAGUGCUUCCCUUCAGAGAGGGGGCCACACUUUCACUGUGCUGACCAGGCCAGCUUUUGCUUAGACGAGCAACCACAAGAUGAAUGUAGCUUAUUCUUUAUAUUAUUCACCACUCUACAACAGUGAAUAUCUAUAGUGGAUUUCAGUUGGUUUUAAGUUAUAGAAGUAAGAAAAAAAAGUUGGCAUAUCUUUGAUCAGAUUUGUCAUACCCAUGGAAAAAUAGCUUCUUAACUAUAUAUCUUACACUGUUUAAAUGAUGCACACACACACACACACACACACACACACACACACACACAAUUAUUUAUACUCAAUAGGUCAGUUUUGUAACUCCAGUCCCCUCAAAUGCUAAACUAAAAUUGUACCACUAGACUAACAAAUCUACAUGUCUUUGAUAUUCAUGAUAAAUGGCAAUCAUAUAGUAAUUUUUCAAAGCUGUGCAGACUGAAUUUGAUUCUGAGCAACUACUAUGAGUUAUCUGAAAAAAGUAAGUCAUUUUUAGCUCAUUGAUAUUGAAUGUACAACUCAUAUCUCUGGGGUAAAAUUGAACAGAAAUGUGCCAUCGAUCUCUCUUUCUUCCUUUUCUCGUUCCCCCUGAUUCCCCCACCUAUCUUUCCUUGUUUGUAGACACUCCAUCACCUUGUCUUUCUGAGCCCUGGGAAAAGCUUCGUCAGUAUUUUUGCACCACUCCCCUCCAUCCAUGCUGCCUUUCUCCCAGAAUUCAUGGUGCCUUAGUCAGAGCAGAAGAGAGCAAGACGAGAGAAAGGAAAAGAUUCAGAAAGAGAAAAAGAUACAAGAGCCGCUAGCUGUAGACAGAAGGAAUGCCUUAAGAAGCAAUUAGCAUAUGUAACUUCUUUCCCCCCUCUGCCUGAAACGGGGUUAUUUCAGUGAGUUUGUAUUGAUGUUUUUGAACAGGCUCCAUGGCAGAGCAUUUAAUGCUGAACACUGCUGUUAGAGAGAAUGCAUUAUUAAUGUGAGGGGAAACUAACGGGGACCAGCAGCUCCUCGGGGCUGUGAAGAGGACGGUUGGCGUCUCUGAGGAAGCAACACCACGCCUCAAAGGUCUUCCUCAGUAAUGCACACAUGCCAGGCAUCUAUCAUUUAUUCAUGACAGUCAGGCGCCUCCAACUCCCUCGAACAAUUAACGAAUCAAUGAAAUGUAUGGGCUCAGAAACUAUCAA